UUUAGAUGGCGACCGGCGCACGGGUGAGUAACACGUAUCCAACCUGCCGAUGACUCGGGGAUAGCCUUUCGAAAGAAAGAUUAAUACCCGAUGGCAUAGUUCUUCCGCAUGGUGGAACUAUUAAAGAAUUUCGGUCAUCGAUGGGGAUGCGUUCCAUUAGGUUGUUGGCGGGGUAACGGGCCCACCAAGCCUUCGAUGGAUAGGGGUUCUGAGAGGAAGGUCCCCCACAUUGGAACUGAGACACGGUCCAAACUCCUACGGGAGGCAGCAUG
This 272-nucleotide ribosomal RNA is filed under the name uncultured bacterium. RNAcentral's name for it is "partial 16S ribosomal RNA". It matches the Rfam family "Bacterial small subunit ribosomal RNA", at positions 83 to 353 of the family's 1533-position model. The record is from RNAcentral.